Molecule: ribosomal RNA, 408 nt
Filed under: uncultured bacterium
Lineage: Bacteria
Description: partial 16S ribosomal RNA
Rfam family: Bacterial small subunit ribosomal RNA
Source: RNAcentral
GACGAACGCUGACGGCGUGCUUAACACAUGCAAGUCGAAGGGAGUGGCGAACCGGUGAGUAACACGUGAGUAACCUGCCCUUUUCUUUGGGAUAAGCCUGUGAAACUGGGUCUAAUACUGUAUGGAUUGUGAUGGGCUCGCGGCUGAUCAGCUUGUUGGUGGGGUGAUGGAUUACCAAGGCUUUGACGGGGAGCCGGCGUGAGAGGGGGGUCGGUAACAAGGGGACUGAGAUACGGCCCAGACGCAUACGGGAGGAAGCAGUGGGGGAGAGUGCAAAAGGGACGAAAGUCUGAUGCAGCGACGUCGUGUGGGGGAUGAAGGCCUUCGGGUUGGAAACUCCUUUCGCCCGCGGAAGGGUAGUGGGUAAAGAAGCGCCGGCUAACUACGUGCCAGCAGCCGCGGUAAUAC